CGACUCCUGACAGAAGGAUGAUGCACUCAGGGUGUAGAAUGAGACACAGAUUUUCGGAAAUGGUUGUCAUUGGGAUAAGUGGAUGACGGAAACUGGGAGGAUGAGGAUGUGUUUGACAAGAGGCAGCACAACAUAACAAAAGGAACUCUGGACUGGGAAUCGGGAGACUUGGAUUUCAACCACUUAACAGUUUCUAGAGAACCACAGGACAUCAGAGAAAGG
Molecule: non-coding RNA, 222 nt
Organism: Phascolarctos cinereus (koala)
Lineage: Eukaryota; Metazoa; Chordata; Mammalia; Diprotodontia; Phascolarctidae
Source: RefSeq, a predicted model, not a curated record